GACGUAGGGCGCGAGCGUUGUCCGGAUUUAUUGGGCGUAAAGAGCUCGUAGGCGGCUUGUCGCGUCGAAUGUGAAAUUUUAGGGCUCAACCCUGACAUUGCAUUCGAUACGGGCUGGCUAGAGUGUGGUAGGGGAGAUCGGAAUUCCUGGUGUAGCGGUGAAAUGCGCAGAUAUCAGGAGGAACACCGGUGGCGAAGGCGGGUCUCUGGGCCGUAACUGACGCUGAGGAGCGAAAGCGUGGGGAGCGGACAGG
Molecule: ribosomal RNA, 253 nt
Filed under: uncultured bacterium
Lineage: Bacteria
Description: partial 16S ribosomal RNA
Rfam family: Bacterial small subunit ribosomal RNA
Source: RNAcentral